Molecule: long non-coding RNA, 719 nt
Organism: Canis lupus familiaris (dog)
Lineage: Eukaryota; Metazoa; Chordata; Mammalia; Carnivora; Canidae
Exons: 3
Source: RefSeq, a predicted model, not a curated record
GGAGCUCAGGCAAGGCUCCUCCAGCGCGACAGUGUCCCGGGCCCGGCUGGCCUCGGGUUGAAGCCCCGGGACUUUGCAGCAGACGGAGAGCCUGCCCGGAGGCCUGCGGCAUUCCACGGGUGUCCAGAAGCCUCAGCUGCUUAUCAGUGUUCCCAUGGCAACGUCUGUUGCGUGGGAAUGCUGGUUGUCCUCCCUUAAAGGAUCCUGUCUCUUAACUCUGGUGGACACACACGCUGCCGCUGAUGGAGAAGAGGAGCUUGCUGUUUUCCACACCCAUUCCAGACUUGCAAGAAAGAAAACCUAGCCAGAAGCUGGAAGGAAUCCAGAAGAUGUGGACAAACCCGCAGCUCUCCCUUGAGAGAGAGGUGUGUUCUUUCAUUUCUCAGGUCUAUUGAAGCCUUGAGAAGAAUAAUUGAGGGACUGCUUGCCUUGGAGGCAUUUCACUGAGGCAAGCUCAGCCCUGGGUCAGCAAUGUUCCAGGCUGUUAGGAGAGACACACACACUUGCACACCUCAUGUGUAAGAUCCCCAAAACCACAGCUGUUGACUUAAGGCUUUGUAGACCCUCUCAACACUUUGGGUCCUAAAAAACCCAGGAGCCAAAGCCCUGGGGAGGCUUUCCUUUCCUUGUCAUGUCUUCAGAAUAAAUUGGGGUGAAUGAUUACAGCUAAGGUUGAGAACUGAUUGGAGUAACUUUUAAUUAAAUUCUCUUGAUGGAAA